CGCCCAAUAGCUAGCCCACCAUCACAACCCAAAUAUUUCCCUAUUUAUACACCAUAAAACACCUAAACUAAUAAACAAACCAUUUUUCCCCCCAAGUACGAGCGACGGAAAAGGGACUAGGAGCAAUAGAGAAAGUACCGCAAGGGAAAGCUGAAAAAGAAAUGAAAUAACCCAGUAAAGCCUCAAAAAGCAGAGACGCCCCCUCGUACCUUUUGCAUCAUGAUUUAGCCAGUAAACACUUAAGCAAAAAGAAUUUUAGUUUAACACCCCGAAACUAAGUGAGCUACUCCAAGACAGCCUGACAAUAGGGCAACCCCGUCUCUGUGGCAAAAGAGUGGGAAGAGCUUUGAGUAGAGGUGAUAGACCUACCGAACCUAGUUAUAGCUGGUUGCCUGAGAAUUGAAUAGAAGUUCAGCCCUUUGAAUUCUUUACUCCCCCUGACUUUAUCUACCCCAUAGAUCUUUUAAAGAAAUCAAAGGAGUUAGUCAAAGGGGGUUCAGCCCCUUUGAAACAAGACACAACUUUCCCAGUAGGGUAAAGACCAUAACCAAACCAAAGGCAAGAUGUCUUAGUGGGCCUAAAAGCAGCCACCCAAAUAGAAAGCGUUAAAGCUCGAACAUCCCUCUCUCCGCCUUUAAUCCCGACAACAAAAUCUUAUCCCACUAAUUCCAUUAGGCCAUUCUAUGAAUUCAUAGAAGUGAUUAUGCUAAUAUGAGUAAUAAGAGAGGACCCGCCUCUCUCCCCCGCACAUGUGUAAAUCGGAACGAACUCCCCACCGAACAUUAACGGCCCCAAACAAAGAGGGGACUGGAUACAAAAUAAAUAACCAGAAAACCAUCCUACAACCCACCGUUAACCCUACACUGGCGUGCCCCCAAGGAAAGACUAAAAGAAAAAGAAGGAACUCGGCAAACACAAGCCUCGCCUGUUUACCAAAAACAUCGCCUCUUGUCUCACAUAAAUAAGAGGUACCGCCUGCCCUGUGACCACAUGUUUAACGGCCGCGGUAUUUUGACCGUGCAAAGGUAGCGCAAUCACUUGUCUUUUAAAUGAAGACCUGUAUGAAUGGCACGACGAGGGCUUAACUGUCUCCUUUCUCCAGUCAAUGAAAUUGAUCUCCCCGUGCAGAAGCGGGGAUAUGUACAUAAGACGAGAAGACCCUAUGGAGCUUUAGACACAAGAACAGACCAUGUUAAGCACCCCAAAUAAUGGACAAAACUGAUUGAGCCCUGUUCUAAUGUCUUUGGUUGGGGCGACCGCGGGGAAAUAAAAAACCCCCAUGUGGACUGAGAGCACAACACUCUCACAACCAAGAGCCACAGCUCUAAGUAACAGACACUCUGACCUCUAAGAUCCGGCACUUGCCGAUCAACGAACCGAGUUACCCUAGGGAUAACAGCGCAAUUCCCUUCUAGAGCCCAUAUCGACAAGGGGGUUUACGACCUCGAUGUUGGAUCAGGACAUCCUAAUGGUGCAGCCGCUAUUAAGGGUUCGUUUGUUCAACGAUUAAAGUCCUACGUGAUCUGAGUUCAGACCGGAGUAAUCCAGGUCAGUUUCUAUCUAUGACAUGAUCUUUUCUAGUACGAAAGGACCGAAAAGAAGAGGCCCCUACUUAAAGUACGCCUCCCCCCUACCUACUGAAACCAACUAAAAUAGGCAAAAGGGCAUACCCUUAUGCUAAAGAAAAUAGCAU
RNAcentral lists this ribosomal RNA (1693 nucleotides) under Ptychochromoides katria (katria cichlid). Its description in RNAcentral is "16S rRNA". It matches the Rfam family "Bacterial large subunit ribosomal RNA". Lineage: Eukaryota; Metazoa; Chordata; Actinopteri; Cichliformes; Cichlidae. The record is from RNAcentral.